GAUGAAGAACGUAGUGAAAUGCGAUAAGUAAUGUGAAUUGCAGAAUUCAGUGAAUCAUCGAAUCUUUGAACGCACAUUGCGCCUAUUAGUAUUCUAGUAGGCAUGCCUGUUCGAGCGUCAUUAAGUCCACAUUAAGCCUCGUUGCUUAGCGUUGGGAAUUUAUAGAGAUAUAAUUCCUUAAAGUUAGUGGCAGAAGUGAAUCACACUCUGAGCGUAGUAAUUUUUUAUCUCGCUUUUGCAGUCGGUUCGCUUGUCGCCGUUAAACACCCCCUUUUUAAUGGUUGACCUCGGAUCAGGUAGGAAUACCCGCUGAACUUAAGCAUAUCAAUAAGCGGAGGA
This 339-nucleotide unclassified non-coding RNA is filed under the name soil metagenome. RNAcentral describes it as "partial contains 5.8S ribosomal RNA, internal transcribed spacer 2, and large subunit ribosomal RNA". The stretch from base 1 to 120 matches the Rfam family "5.8S ribosomal RNA", at positions 35 to 154 of the family's 154-position model. The record is from RNAcentral.